RNAcentral lists this ribosomal RNA (496 nucleotides) under uncultured bacterium. RNAcentral describes it as "partial 16S ribosomal RNA". It matches the Rfam family "Bacterial small subunit ribosomal RNA", at positions 28 to 507 of the family's 1533-position model. The record is from RNAcentral.
GAUGAACGCUGGCGGCGUGCCUAAUACAUGCAAGUCGAGCGAACAGACGAGGAGCUUGCUCCUCUGACGUUAGCGGCGGACGGGUGAGUAACACGUGGAUAACCUACCUAUAAGACUGGGAUAACUUCGGGAAACCGGAGCUAAUACCGGAUAAUAUAUUGAACCGCAUGGUCAAUAGUGAAAGACGGUUUUGCUGUCACUUAUAGAUGGAUCCGCGCCGCAUUAGCUAGUUGGUAAGGUAACGGCUUACCAAGGCAACGAUGCGUAGCCGACCUGAGAGGGUGAUCGGCCACACUGGAACUGAGACACGGUCCAGACUCCUACGGGAGGCAGCAGUAGGGAAUCUUCCGCAAUGGGCGAAAGCUUGACGGAGCAACGCCGCGUGAGUGAUGAAGGUCUUCGGAUCGUAAAACUCUGUUAUUAGGGAAGAACAAAUGUGUAAGUAACUAUGCACGUCUUGACGGUACCUAAUCAGAAAGCCACGGCUAACUACGUG